This 500-nucleotide ribosomal RNA is filed under the name uncultured Oscillospiraceae bacterium. Its description in RNAcentral is "bacterial SSU rRNA". It matches the Rfam family "Bacterial small subunit ribosomal RNA", at positions 28 to 526 of the family's 1533-position model. Lineage: Bacteria; Bacillati; Bacillota; Clostridia; Eubacteriales; Oscillospiraceae. The record is from RNAcentral.
GACGAACGCUGGCGGCGCGCCUAACACAUGCAAGUCGAGCGGAGUCUAUGAGACAAUCACUUCGGUGUGCGACUUAUAGUACUUAGCGGCGGACGGGUGAGUAACACGUGAGCAACCUACCCUAAGGUGGGGAAUAACAUUCGGAAACGGAUGCUAAUACCGCAUGAUGUUGGAGGAAGGCAUCUUCCACCAACCAAAGAUUUAUCGCUUUAGGAUGGGCUCGCGCCCGAUUAGAUAGUUGGUGAGGUAAUGGCUCACCAAGUCGACGAUCAGUAGCCGGACUGAGAGGUUGAUCGGCCACAUUGGGACUGAGACACGGCCCAGACUCCUACGGGAGGCAGCAGUGGGGAAUAUUGCACAAUGGGGGAAACCCUGAUGCAGCGACGCCGCGUGAACGAAGACGGUCCUCUGGAUUGUAAAGUUCUGUCAACGGGGACGAUAAUGACGGUACCCCGUGGAGGAAGCCACGGCUAACUACGUGCCAGCAGCCGCCGUAAAAG